GUAGGGGGCAAGCGUUAUCCGGAUUUACUGGGUGUAAAGGGAGCGUAGACGGCAUGGCAAGUCUGAUGUGAAAGGCAGGGGCUCAACUCCUGGACUGCAUUGGAAACUGCCAGGCUUGAGUGCCGGAGGGGUAAGCGGAAUUCCUAGUGUAGCGGUGAAAUGCGUAGAUAUUAGGAGGGACACCAGUGGCGAAGGCGGCUUACUGGACGGUAACUGACGUUGAGGCUCGAAAGCGUGGGGAGC
RNAcentral lists this ribosomal RNA (243 nucleotides) under uncultured bacterium. RNAcentral's name for it is "partial 16S ribosomal RNA". It matches the Rfam family "Bacterial small subunit ribosomal RNA", at positions 527 to 769 of the family's 1533-position model. The record is from RNAcentral.